UCAAUAAAUGAGCCGAAGAGCUAGUUUGUUAAAAUAUCGAGUUAAAAAAUUCAGCUCGUAUUCGGUUUGUUUAUUAACGAGUCGAACACAAGUUGCCUUACGAACAACAAGUUAGAUUAUCAGUCUUAUCAUUAAAUAAAAAUUUUUUAAAAAAAUAGAAAAUUACAAUAUUAAUCAAAUUAUUUAAAUUCAUAAAGUAUAAAUCUCUCUAUAUU
This 215-nucleotide long non-coding RNA is filed under the name Ananas comosus (pineapple). Its description in RNAcentral is "long non-coding RNA (ACOM_LNC037120)". The record is from RNAcentral. Lineage: Eukaryota; Viridiplantae; Streptophyta; Magnoliopsida; Poales; Bromeliaceae.